Molecule: long non-coding RNA, 1416 nt
Filed under: Gallus gallus (chicken)
Lineage: Eukaryota; Metazoa; Chordata; Aves; Galliformes; Phasianidae
Description: long non-coding RNA NONGGAT003545
Source: RNAcentral
AGAAUGGGCAGUCUGGAAUGCAUGAAGUUGAGGGACCUAGAGUACUGAGGAAAUGGCCAAAUCGAUAGCCCUAGAAUAUGUGGUAUUGCUAAUCCACAGAAAAUAAGCACUGUUCUGUGCAAGGAUGACCAGGUUGGCAAUGGAAGUAUUGAAAUGCAGCAGCUUGUUUGUGGAAUGACUGGAGGAGAUGGAGGAGCCUGGACAUGGUGGCCGUACUUGCCAAUCAAUACCUACAAGAUUUUUGCAAACAAGAUAUAAAACAAAGUUAAUGUUUCAUGAAAUAUGGAUUCAGAUUAACUCUGUGCCCCAAGCUGAGAUCAUACUAGGGUUUGUAGUUUCUGCAUGUCGGCUAAGCAGCAAUUACACAAUUCUCAGAGGAAAACCGAGCUUGGCCAGCAGCGUUUUCCUGGUAGUCGCUAAUCUUACCAGAGAAAUGGAUACUUUUUUCUAUAGUUAGCAAUCUGCCAGCCCAUUCUUUGCAUAAGUGGAAGCUGUGCUGAAUUCUCAAUGUAAAUGACACGGGAAAGCUAAGCAUAUGAAAAAGCAUAGCAAAACAAAUGAUUCAAAGAAUGUUCCAAAUGAAUCAUGUAAAUUAAGUGCAUGGCCAAAAACUGUUGUUUUGCAUAUUUUCAAUAGUUAUAAUUAACUGAGAUGUCUGGGAGCAAAAACAUGAGCAAGCCAGGAGUGGCAGCUGAGUGAAUAGUGCAGAAGCAGCUGGCUAUGUGGAGGCAAAUUCCUGCUGUCUGAGGGCAGCAGCUUGCUUCUGAACAGAGUGACUAAAAUCAGUGAGUGCCACAAAACAGUAAACUUUAUUUCAACUGUAAAGAUGUAUGCUUAAAGAGCGAUGGAUGAGUGAGUGCUUCUUACCUUCCUCCAUUUUAGCAUUAGCAAUGAGCAUUUGCCUCAGAUGUUUGAGGAGUCCAGGCCAACUGAACGUGCUAUAUGCGAGGGAGUUUUCAGGCAUCUGAGGUAUGUUACGGAGACCCAACAUCUUGAAUUCAGGAUGUGGAACUAACGUCUCCAUUAAGUCUCCUGAAAAAAAAAAAGAAAUGACAGCUGCUCAUGUUUGACAAAAAUAUCCCAUAGGCUAUUUAAAAAAGGAGAAGAGCACGAGGAAUUUUAUAAAGAUCUAGUAACUGAAGGUAAGAAAGCAGAAUAUGUAAAGUUUAAAUUUAACAAAUACACAGAUGCAUCUGACAAAAUGCAAAGAUUUACAACCUGCCACUGAGUUUUAUACAGGCAAGUUAACAGCUCUUAUUUCACAAUUUAGACUUGUCCUCCUUUUAGUCUGGCUCAGAAUCUUAAAGACCUUCUAUGCUUCUGAAGAGAUGGAAAGGAAAAUUAGAGCUUAAUUUUACAGGCAGAUUCUUGGCAAGCCAGUUGCAUGUUGCUACCAAGUUGCAUCCUAGUGUGUCU